RNAcentral lists this ribosomal RNA (357 nucleotides) under Triticum aestivum (bread wheat). RNAcentral describes it as "partial small subunit ribosomal RNA". The record is from RNAcentral. Lineage: Eukaryota; Viridiplantae; Streptophyta; Magnoliopsida; Poales; Poaceae.
AUGUUGUAUGGCGCGGAGUGUUGGCCGACUAAAAGGCGACAUGUUCAACAGUUAGGUGUGGCGGAGAUGCGUAUGUUGAGAUGGAUGUGUGGCCACACGAGGAAGGAUCGAGUCCGAAAUGAUGAUAUACGAGAUAGAGUUGGGGUAACACCAAUUGAGGAGAAGCUUGUCCAACAUCGUCUGAGAUGGUUUGGGCAUAUUCAGCGCAGGCCUCCAAAAGCUCCAGUGCAUAGCGGACGGCUAAAGCAUGCAGAGAAUGUCAAGAGAGGGCGGGGUAGACCGAAUUUGACAUGGGAGGAGUCCGUUAAGAGAGACCUGAAGGAUUGGAGUAUCACCAAAGAGCUAGCUAUGGACAGA